RNAcentral lists this ribosomal RNA (497 nucleotides) under uncultured bacterium. Its description in RNAcentral is "partial 16S ribosomal RNA". It matches the Rfam family "Bacterial small subunit ribosomal RNA", at positions 28 to 507 of the family's 1533-position model. The record is from RNAcentral.
GAUGAACGCUGGCGGCGUGCCUAAUACAUGCAAGUCGAGCGAACAGACGAGGAGCUUGCUCCUCUGACGUUAGCGGCGGACGGGUGAGUAACACGUGGAUAACCUACCUAUAAGACUGGGAUAACUUCGGGAAACCGGAGCUAAUACCGGAUAAUAUAUUGAACCGCAUGGUUCAAUAGUGAAAGACGGUUUUGCUGUCACUUAUAGAUGGAUCCGCGCCGCAUUAGCUAGUUGGUAAGGUAACGGCUUACCAAGGCAACGAUGCGUAGCCGACCUGAGAGGGUGAUCGGCCACACGGGAACUGAGACACGGUCCAGACUCCUCCGGGAGGCAGCAGUAGGGAAUCUUCCGCAAUGGGCGAAAGCCUGACGGAGCAACGCCGCGUGAGUGAUGAAGGUCUUCGGAUCUUAAAACUCUGUUAUUAGGGAAGAACAAAUGUGUAAGUAACUAUGCACGUCUUGACGGUACCUAAUCAGAAAGCCACGGCUAACUACGUG